UACGGGGGGGGCAAGCGUUGUUCGGAAUUACUGGGCGUAAAGGGCUUGUAGGUGGCCAACUAAGUCAGACGUGAAAUCCCUCGGCUUAACCGGGGAACUGCGUCUGAUACUGGAUGGCUUGAGUGUGGGAGAGGGAUGCGGAAUUCCAGGUGUAGCGGUGAAAUGCGUAGAUAUUCGGAGGAACACCAGUGGCGAAAGCGACUUUCUGGGACAUUCCUGACGCUGAGGUUCGAAAGCUCGGGGAGCAAACAGG
Molecule: ribosomal RNA, 253 nt
Filed under: uncultured bacterium
Lineage: Bacteria
Description: partial 16S ribosomal RNA
Rfam family: Bacterial small subunit ribosomal RNA
Source: RNAcentral